GACGAACGCUGGCGGCGUGCUUAACACAUGCAAGUCGAACGAUGAAGCUGGAGCUUGCUCCGGUGGAUUAGUGGCGAACGGGUGAGUAACACGUGAGCAAUAUGCCCUUCACUCUGGGAUAACUGCGGGAAACUGUAGCUAAUACCGGAUACGAGGCUUGGAGGCAUCUCCAGGUCUGGAAAGAAUUUCGGUGAAGGAGGAGCUCGCGGCCUAUCAGAGUGUUGGUGAGGUAAUGGCUCGCCAAGGCGACGACGGGUAGCCGGCCUGAGAGGGUGACCGGCCACACUGGGACUGAGACACGGCCCAGACUCCGACGGGAGGCAGCAUUGGGGAAUAUUGCACAAUGGGCGAAAGCCUGAUGCAGCAACGCCGCGUGAGGGAUGAAGGCCUUCGGGUUGUAAACCUCUUUUGGCAGGGAAGAAGCGAAAGUGACGGUACCUGCAGAAAAAGCACCGGCUAACUACGUGCCAGCAGCCGCCGUAA
RNAcentral lists this ribosomal RNA (483 nucleotides) under uncultured bacterium. RNAcentral's name for it is "partial 16S ribosomal RNA". It matches the Rfam family "Bacterial small subunit ribosomal RNA", at positions 28 to 523 of the family's 1533-position model. The record is from RNAcentral.